GUUAGUUUACAGUGUAAACUUUGCAGUGACAUGAUUUAGUAAGUUUUUUAGUUAAAAGUAUCUUCAAGAGAAAAGUAAAUAUGAGUACUAGUAAAGAGACGGGUAAAAGCAGGAUCACCAUAGUAGUUUAGGACACCUUUUGGAACCAGUCGUGACUCGUGAGUGUAAAUUUUGAAGGACAUAAUUGUGUUAUCUUAGAAUGUUUUGCCCUCUGUGUCAUUGUUGCUGCCUAAUACUUAUUUAAUUGGAUAACUCAGUACCUUUGAUUGUUAUAUUCGAUAAACAUGCCGAUAUUUUGCCUGAAUGUUAAGUGUGUGCGAGUAGAAAUUGGAAAUGCAUGCUAAUAUAUUUGAGGCUGUUUUCAGCUGACAGUUGCAGGCAUAAAG
This 386-nucleotide unclassified non-coding RNA is filed under the name Hevea brasiliensis (rubber tree). The record is from RNAcentral. Lineage: Eukaryota; Viridiplantae; Streptophyta; Magnoliopsida; Malpighiales; Euphorbiaceae.